UGGGGAAUAUUGGGCAAUGGGGGAAACCCUGACCCAGCAACGCCGCGUGAAGGAAGAAGGCUUUCGGGUUGUAAACUUCUUUUACCAGGGACGAAGGACGUGACGGUACCUGGAGAAAAAGCUCCGGCUAACUACGUGCCAGCAGCCGCGGUAAUACGUAGGGAGCGAGCGUUGUCCGGAUUUACUGGGUGUAAAGGGCGUGUAGGCGGAGGAGCAAGUCAGAAGUGAAAUCUCCGGGCUUAACCCGGAAACUGCUUUUGAAACUGUUCCCCUUGAGUACUGGAGAGGCAGGCGGAAUUCCUAGUGUAGCGGUGAAAUGCGUAGAUAUUAGGAGGAACACCAGUGGCGAAGGCGGCCUGCUGGACAGCAACUGACGCUGAGGCGCGAAAGCGUGGGGAGCAAACAGG
RNAcentral lists this ribosomal RNA (407 nucleotides) under uncultured bacterium. RNAcentral describes it as "bacterial SSU rRNA". It matches the Rfam family "Bacterial small subunit ribosomal RNA", at positions 355 to 776 of the family's 1533-position model. The record is from RNAcentral.